CCUACGGGAGGCUGCAGUAGGGAAUCUUCCACAAUGGACGAAAGUCUGAUGGAGCAACGCCGCGUGAGUGAAGAAGGGUUUCGGCUCGUAAAGCUCUGUUGGUAGUGAAGAAAGAUAGAGGUAGUAACUGGCCUUUAUUUGACGGUAAUUACUUAGAAAGUCACGGCUAACUACGUGCCAGCAGCCGCGGUAAUACGUAGGUGGCAAGCGUUGUCCGGAUUUAUUGGCGUAAAGCGAGUGCAGGCGGUUCAAUAAGUCUGAUGGGAAAGCCUUCGGCUCAACCGGAGAAUUGCAUCAGAAACUGUUGAACGUGAGUGCAGAAGAGGAGAGUGGAACUCCAUGUGUAGCGGUGGAAUGCGUAGAUAUAUGGAAGAACACCAGUGGCGAAGGCGACUAUCUGGCACAUAACUGACGCUGAGGAGCGAAAGCGUGGGUAGCAAACAGGAUUAGAUACCCGUGUAGUC
RNAcentral lists this ribosomal RNA (464 nucleotides) under uncultured bacterium. RNAcentral's name for it is "partial 16S ribosomal RNA". It matches the Rfam family "Bacterial small subunit ribosomal RNA", at positions 338 to 795 of the family's 1533-position model. The record is from RNAcentral.